AUUGAACGCUGGCGGCAUGCUUUACACAUGCAAGUCGUGCGGAAAGGCCCCUUCGGGGGUACUCGAGCGGCGGACGGCAGAGUAACGCGUAGGAACAUACCCCAAAGUGAGGGAUAACUGCUCGAAAGAGUAGCUAAUACCGCAUGUGGUCUUCGGAUUAAAGCCUUAGGGCGCUUUGGGAAUGGCCUGCGUUCGAUUAGCUAGUUGGUGAGGUAAAUGCUCACCAAGGCGACGAUCGAUAGCUGGUCUGAGAGGAUGAUCAGCCUGACUGGAACUGAGACACGGUCCAGACUCCUACGGGAGGCAGCAGUAGGGAAUUUUCCACAAUGGGCGAAAGCCUGAUGGAGCAAUGCCGCGUGCAGGAUGAAGGCCCUCGGGUCGUAAACUGCUUUUAUGUGAGAAGAAUAUGACGGUAACACAUGAAUAAGGGUCGGCUAACUACGUG
Molecule: ribosomal RNA, 445 nt
Filed under: uncultured bacterium
Lineage: Bacteria
Description: bacterial SSU rRNA
Rfam family: Bacterial small subunit ribosomal RNA
Source: RNAcentral